AGAGUUUGAUCAUGGCUCAGAAUCAACGCUGGCGGCGUGCCUAACACAUGCAAGUCGAACGAGAAAGUGGAGCAAUCCAUGAGUAAAGUGGCGACCGGGUGAGUAACACGUGACUAACCUACCCUUGAGUGGGGGAUAACCUCGGGAAACCGGGGCUAAUACCGCGUAAUAUCGCGAGAUCAAAGGAGUAAUUCGCUCAGGGAGGGGGUCGCGGCUGAUUAGUUAGUUGGUGAGGUAACGGCCCACCAAGACGAAGAUCAGUAGCCGGCCUGAGAGGGCGCACGGCCACACUGGAACUGAAACACGGUCCAGACUCCUACGGGAGGCAGCAGUGGGGAAUUUUGCGCAAUGGGGGAAACCCUGACGCAGCAACGCCGCGUGGAGGAUGAAGUCCCUUGGGAUGUAAACUCCUUUCGAUCGGGAAGAUUAUGACGGUACCGGAAGAAGAAGCACCGGCUAACUCUGUGCCAGCAGCCGCGGUAAUACAGAGGGUGCAAGCGUUGUUCGGAAUUAUUGGGCGUAAAGGGCGCGUAGGCGGUGCGGUAAGUCUGCAGUGAAAUCUCUGGGCUCAACUCAGAGUCUGCUGUGGAAACUGCCGUGCUUGAGUAUGGGAGAGGUGAGUGGAAUUCCCGGUGUAGCGGUGAAACGCGUAGAUAUCGGGAGGAACACCUGUGGCGAAAGCGGCUCACUGGACCAUAACUGACGCUGAUGCGCGAAAGCUAGGGGAGCAAACAGGAUUAGAUACCCUAGUAGUCC
This 756-nucleotide ribosomal RNA is filed under the name uncultured bacterium. RNAcentral's name for it is "bacterial SSU rRNA". It matches the Rfam family "Bacterial small subunit ribosomal RNA", at positions 8 to 796 of the family's 1533-position model. The record is from RNAcentral.